This 467-nucleotide ribosomal RNA is filed under the name uncultured bacterium. RNAcentral's name for it is "partial 16S ribosomal RNA". It matches the Rfam family "Bacterial small subunit ribosomal RNA", at positions 28 to 506 of the family's 1533-position model. The record is from RNAcentral.
GACGAACGCUGGCGGCGUGCUUAACACAUGCAAGUCGAACGGAAAGGCCCUGCUUUUGUGGGGUGCUCGAGUGGCGAACGGGUGAGUAACACGUGAGUAACCUGCCCUUGACUUUGGGAUAACUUCAGGAAACUGGGGCUAAUACCGGAUAGGAGCUCCUGCUGCAUGGUGGGGGUUGGAAAGUUUCGGCGGUUGGGGAUGGACUCGCGGCUUAUCAGCUUGUUGGUGGGGUAGUGGCUUACCAAGGCUUUGACGGGUAGCCGGCCUGAGAGGGUGACCGGCAACAUUGGGACUGAGAUACGGCCCAGACUCAUACGGGAGGCAGCAGUGGGGAAUAUUGCACAAUGGGCGGAAGCAUGAUGCAGCAACGCCGCGUGCGGGAUGACGGCCUUCGGGUUGUAAACCGCUUUCGCCUGUGACGAAGCGUGAGUGACGGUAAUGGGUAAAGAAGCACCGGCUAACUACGU